Molecule: ribosomal RNA, 320 nt
Filed under: uncultured eukaryote
Lineage: Eukaryota
Description: partial 18S ribosomal RNA
Rfam family: Eukaryotic small subunit ribosomal RNA
Source: RNAcentral
CCCCUAGAUGUUCUGGGCCGCACGCGCGCUACACUGAACAGUUCGACAAGUCUUAACCUUGGCCGAUAGGUCUGGGUAAUCUUUGAACGCUGUUCGUGAUUGGGAUAGACCUUUGCAAUUAUGGGUCUUCAACGAGGAAUUCCUAGUAAACGCAAGUCAUCAGCUUGCAUUGAUUACGUCCCUGCCCUUUGUACACACCGCCCGUCGCACCUACCGAUUGAAUGGUCCGGUGAAAUCUCGGGACGGCGGCUCGGUCGCUUGCGUCCGACUGCUGAAACUUGAUUAAACCAUAUCAUUUAGAGGAAGGUGAAGUCGUAACA